GACGAACGCUGGCGGCGCGCCUAACACAUGCAAGUCGAACGGAGUCAAGAGGAGCUUGCUUUUCUUGACUUAGUGGCGAACGGGUGAGUAACGCGUGGGUAACCUGCCCUGGAGUGGGGGACAACAGUUGGAAACGACUGCUAAUACCGCAUAAGCCCACGGAUCUGCAUGGAUCUGCGGGAAAAGGAUUUAUUCGCUCUAGGAUGGACUCGCGUCCAAUUAGCUAGUUGGUGAGGUAACGGCCCACCAAGGCGACGAUUGGUAGCCGGACUGAGAGGUUGAACGGCCACAUUGGGACUGAGACACGGCCCAGACUCCUACGGGAGGCAGCAGUGGGGGAUAUUGCACAAUGGGGGAAACCCUGAUGCAGCGACGCCGCGUGGAGGAAGAAGGUUUUCGGAUUGUAAACUCCUGUCGUUAGGGACGAUAAUGACGGUACCUAACAAGAAAGCACCAGCUAACUACGUG
Molecule: ribosomal RNA, 468 nt
Filed under: uncultured bacterium
Lineage: Bacteria
Description: partial 16S ribosomal RNA
Rfam family: Bacterial small subunit ribosomal RNA
Source: RNAcentral